GGUGUUGCGCACAACCAGCGACUGCUCCAGCUCCUGCCUGCGCUGCUGGAUCUUUAGAGGAAGUGAGAACAGGAGCAGGUGUCAGUGUUCUGUACUCCCUGAGUCUCCCUCUUCACCUUGAGGUCCCGGCUCUGGGAGCGGAGCAGGUCUUGGACAUAGCCUUUGGGGUCUCUGGAGAAGCUUAGCAUGAAGUCCCUCUGGAUCUUGAGCUGGUUUAUGGACUCAAUCGUCUCAUGGAUCUGCAGACUGCUCAUCUGCAACCACACCCUGGUCUCAGAAAAGUCUCCUCUAUCAUCUCUGGGUUAAUGUCCCACUCCAGCUCUGGGCUUGGGCCCCACCUUACUGUCCAGAGCACUGAUCUCCUGCUGGUUGGCCGUGGAUAGGAGGAAGCUGCUCAUCUGCCCCUUUAAUGGCUCCUCCACCUCCACGUCAAUGUCAUAGCACGCCG
This 448-nucleotide long non-coding RNA is filed under the name Homo sapiens (human). RNAcentral's name for it is "HSALNT0130793". Lineage: Eukaryota; Metazoa; Chordata; Mammalia; Primates; Hominidae. The record is from RNAcentral.